CCUACGGGUGGCAGCAGUGAGGAAUAUUGGUCAAUGGGCGCGAGACUGAACCAGCCAAGUAGCGUGAGGGAGGACGGCACAGAGUAUUGUAAACUUCUUUUGUCAAGGAAUAAAGUAAGGCACGUGUGCCUUGUUGUGUGUACUUUAUGAAUAAGGAUCGGCUAACUCCGUGCCAGCAGCCGCGGUAAUACGGAGGAUCCGAGCGUUAUCCGGAUUUGUUGGGUUUAAAGGGAGCGUAGGUGGGUUGUUAAGUCAGUGGUGAAAGGUGGGGGCUCAACCGUAAAACGGCAAUUGAUACUGGCAGUCUCGAGUACAGUUGAGGUAGGCGGAAUUCGCGGUGUAGCGGUGAAAUGCUUAGAUAUCACGAAGAACUCCGAUUGCGAAGGCAGCUUACUAAAUCGACACUGACACUGAUGCUCGAAAGCGUGGGUAUCAAACAGGAUUAGAUACCCGUGUAGUC
This 460-nucleotide ribosomal RNA is filed under the name uncultured bacterium. Its description in RNAcentral is "partial 16S ribosomal RNA". It matches the Rfam family "Bacterial small subunit ribosomal RNA", at positions 338 to 795 of the family's 1533-position model. The record is from RNAcentral.